GGGCCGGUAGAUCAGCUCGGAAGAUCGCUCGCUUGGCAUGCGAGAGGCCGCGAGUUCAAAUCUCGCCCGGUCCA
This 74-nucleotide transfer RNA is filed under the name Methanobacteriota archaeon. Its description in RNAcentral is "Euryarchaeota archaeon (groundwater metagenome) tRNA-Ala". It matches the Rfam family "tRNA". Rfam says of the family: Transfer RNA (tRNA) molecules are approximately 80 nucleotides in length. Lineage: Archaea; Methanobacteriati; Methanobacteriota. The record is from RNAcentral.